Non-coding RNA from Physcomitrium patens, 1020 nucleotides. Lineage: Eukaryota; Viridiplantae; Streptophyta; Bryopsida; Funariales; Funariaceae. The record is from RefSeq and is a predicted model, not a curated record.
GCAUCGCGAAGGGGGGAGACGAAUAAGCAAGCACUGAGGAGGAAGGGGAGCAGAGAGAGAUCACGAUAGAAUUAAUAGGGUUGAGGUGGGGUGGUGUUUCGCCUCUUAGUUCGGAGGUGUGAUCAAUCCACAAUUCCACAGUGCGGGGGGGGUUUUUGCGAAGGGGCACUUUGGGGAGGGUUGCGAGGGAGCGCCAGGCCAACACCACCACACUCAGAUUCCAAGGGUGCAGCGAAAUAUACCCUCCCCUCCCCCCACCCCAUACACACCUUCGCACCGGAAUAAGCCAGCGGGCAAGACCGAGAAACUUCCUGGAUCAGAAUCCCGUGAAGGGCCAAUUUCAGCAAGGGUGCUGCUGGCCUGACCCUUGCCAGGAUUAGGACACGCAAGGAUGCCCUGUAUUGUUCCUUUUGUCCCUUGGCUUGCGCGCGCGAACCUUCGACCCCGUUUCGCGCAGUCCUCGAUCGAUCGUCAUCAUUCCAGGAUUCGGAUGGGGUUCGUUCUCAAGGGGGCUUCGAGGCGAUCGGGCGGUAACCAGCGGAUUCUCUGGAAGGUCAAUGCUACGUCAAGGUCCACGGCUGCCUCGCGGGCGGACUUGCUGGGUGGUGAUUGGAUUGCGGCAAUUGAACGUGCGCAGCUGAGGCUUUAGAGGAUGGGGAGCCUUCCCAGCAAGUUUGGCAGGAAGGAAAGUUUGAGAACUCGGAGUUUGUGGCGGAUGUGGAACCGGCAAGGUUGGAGAAUAUUGUCGCGGUCCCUAGUUUAAUCUGCAGUGAUGAAAUGAGAAAGAUUUGAAAUUGGAGUUGGUACCAAACCUCAUGCAUAAACAUGAAGUCACGGGAGAGUUUUGACGCACAGUAAGAACCUGAACAGCUGGCGGAGUUUUUUUUCCCUUGACAGUUGAAAUUGGUCCUUGUCCUUGUCAAUUGGUUCUUUCUCUUACAUUUACAAGAGAAAGAACACUAAGAAUGAUAAAAUAACUUGAAGUAUAUUAAUAAAAAUGACUUGAUUAUAUUGCAAUAA